This 31-nucleotide non-coding RNA is filed under the name Rattus norvegicus (Norway rat). Lineage: Eukaryota; Metazoa; Chordata; Mammalia; Rodentia; Muridae. The record is from RNAcentral.
UGUGGGUCCAGGCCAGUUGGCAAUCCUACUC